GUGCCAGCAGCCGCGGUAAUACGUAGGGUGCGAGCGUUAAUUGGAAUUACUGGGCGUAAAGCGUGCGCAGGCGGCUUUGCAAGACAGAGGUGAAAUCCCCGGGCUCAACCUGGGAACUGCCUUUGUGACUGCAAGGCUAGAGUACGGCAGAGGGGGAUGGAUUCCGCGUGUAGCAGUGAAAUGCGUAGAUAUGCGGAGGAACACCGAUGGCGAAGGCAAUCCCCUGGGCCUGUACUGACGCUCAUGCACGAAAGCGUGGGGAGCAAACAGGAUUAGA
RNAcentral lists this ribosomal RNA (277 nucleotides) under uncultured Burkholderiales bacterium. RNAcentral describes it as "partial 16S ribosomal RNA". It matches the Rfam family "Bacterial small subunit ribosomal RNA", at positions 505 to 782 of the family's 1533-position model. Lineage: Bacteria; Pseudomonadati; Pseudomonadota; Betaproteobacteria; Burkholderiales. The record is from RNAcentral.